RNAcentral lists this long non-coding RNA (3203 nucleotides) under Canis lupus familiaris (dog). RNAcentral describes it as "lncRNA (ENSCAFG00030014537.1)". The record is from RNAcentral. Lineage: Eukaryota; Metazoa; Chordata; Mammalia; Carnivora; Canidae.
CAAAAUUUGGGUUUCUGAAAACUCGGGAGGGAGUUAGAAGAUAAGUGAGACGUGGAUGAAUCAGCUAUAUUAGAAAACCUGGGAAGGUGAGCUGAGUUGGAAACUUGAUAGAUCUAAUAAUUUAUUGGCUCAGGAUUUGUCAAUCACCCAGCUCAGCAAAUGAGAUUAGAGCAGAGUCAUAGGGGAGGGAGGGAGUGACGCAGCAAACUAUUUGCACCAAGAAAAUCUAGUCAAAAGACCUCUGUGUAAUCAUAUUGCGGCACCGGUUUUUCUUGCAGCAGCUGCUGCUUGCGAAGGAGGUCCGCCCAACUGCAGCUCUCUGCCGUCUCUGGCUCGCUCCUGCGAGACUGGCCUCGCCACUCUCUGCACCCAAGCCCAUCCUACCGUUGCCUCUGUCCACUUCUCACAGCAUUCAUCCCCGCAGCAGCCUCCACCGUUAUUCCCGCAGCCCAGCCAGCCACUACUGCUCGCUCCACCUCUGCCCCAGCCACCACCGCUUCUGCUAUUCCGGUGAUUGUGAUGUGAUCCCACAGAAUUAUAAGAUGAAAGUGGAACAAAAGCUCUUCUGCUUGUGACUUAUUCCUCCAUUAUUGAACAUGCUUCCUUCGGAUUUUGGCUCAGAGAGGUAAGUUUAUAACACUGCCUGAUUUUCUUACCUCUGCCUCAUCUUUACAAUCAACUGAGGAGGAAGAUAUGGGCUUUUUCUUUCCUUUUCCUGUCUGGAUAGGACCCUCCUCUAAUAUAUCUUUCUAGCAGAGACAGUGGUAAUGCUCACCUGCUUUUCUCUGGGGUUGCAAUAGUUGACAGGGUAUAGGGAAAUAGAAGCAACUUAGUAUUAUAGGGGAACCUAAAUUGGGAGGUACUUCCAGUGUAUGUUUGUACUUCCAGUGUAUGCUUGUUAAUUAUAAACAUUUUCACACUCUUCGCCACCCUCAAUGUUGACCUCUGUUAAAUUCCUGGCUCCAGCAAAUAUUGAUUGGACCUCUUUUAAUUGUUAAAUGUUACUCUGCAUUAAAAGGUUAGGAACAUGGGUGUAUCUCUCCCUCUAUUUUACAGAGAAGGACCAGGCAUCUUGAAGCCCCUUCUGUUCCUUUAUUUAGCCUCCUUGAGCUAAAGCAGUAAAACUGCUUCUGAGCUUUCUGUGAGGGCAGGCCAGCCCCUUUCCUUUAUCCCCCAUGUCAGUGGUGUCCAGUCAAAGACCAUCAAGGACAUACCCAUAGUUGAAUAAGCACAUACCCAAGUUGAACAUAGUUGAACAAAUUGAACAUACCCAUAGUCUCCAUCAUUGCCAUGAGGGAGAACACACAUCCUGGGGAGGCAUUGUAUGUUAUCAUUAAGUGUUAGAAAACACUGCAGAAUUUGGGCUUUGAUUUUGUGAUUUGGUGGAGGGUCUGUGGAAGUUGGGGUUUACUCUACAUUGUAGGAAAAUUUAAUGGUUCAUAGCUCAAUAAAUCUCAUCUAUAGGGAGAAAAGUUUAGAAGAAAGACAAAGCUGUAACUGGUAAAGAGGUUGUAGCCACUUACUUUAGCUAGAAUGGCAGUGGUGUUUAGCAUUUUGUGAGUAACACAGUGAUUUUGUUUUUGUCUGUGCUUAGACAAAAUUAGAUGGCCUCGGUUUGUCUCAUUUUAUUACAGUUUCAUAGUAACCUUGUUUGAGGUUGGUAUUCUAUGAGAUAGGUUAUAUCCAAUUGAAGAAUGGCAUGGCCUAGUUGUGAGGACCAGGCCAGCUUCCUGAUGUCAGGGAUUGCUUUUUAUAUUUCCUUCUCUUUCACCCCUUCUCAGGGAUGAAAUUGAAGGUUGUCAUCACUCCUUUAGCUUGUGGAUGUUCAUCUGAUUUGCCUUUAGACUAGUGUAAAGGAACUUUAGGCUUUGAGAGUAGGCCAUAAAUUUCAACCCACAUACCAAAGAAGUCUAUACUAGGAUUUAGGACCCAAGUGUGACUAACGAUAGAAUUUUUACCUUAAUUUUUUUUUAUAAUUGUUCUUUAAAAAGUAUAUCAUUUGUACAGUCCUGAAGGCUUGUUGAGAUGGCUCUUGGGGCUUGUUAGAAGUUUGGUAUUCUUAGUUCUCAGGGGAUAUACUUAAAUACAAUAAAAUUCCAUUUUUUGGUACGUCAUAAUUUAUAGUGUAAAUUAUAGUAUUUAGUAUUAUAUGUCAUAUGGUAGAGUGGUUAGUCUCUGAAGCCAGGCUGCUUAAAUUCAAAUCCCAAUUUUGUAACUUAUUAGUUGGGUGACCUUGUACAGGUUAGUUUAUGUGUCCUAGUUUUCAUAUCUGUAAAUAUAUAAUAAUUGCACGUUUAUCUCGUAGAUUAUUAUGAAGAUUUAAUUGGUUUAUAUGAAGUGCUUGAAAUAUGCAUGGCACGCAGGGAGUGCUGUAUAAGCGUAUCUAUGUUAUUUUUAUUACUAAGUUAAAUCUGUGAAAUAUUCAAAACCGGUAUACAAUAAAAGUGUGUAACUUCUUAUUAAAUCAUUAAUAAUUGUCCCCAUAAUUUGUUUUCUAAUUUACAAAAAGUGAAAGAACCUGCUUUACAUUUUAAUUACAAAAUCUCCAGGAUUUCUGCAAGUAUUAAGGAAAGCUAAGUGGCAAAUUUAGCAGCAGUACUUAAGGUACUGACAAGCCCGAUUAAUGAUGAGGAAAAUAUAGUAACUAUAUGGUAAUUCUUCACCACUGAAUGCAUUCAUUAUCUUUGUAGCUGUGUACACCAAAUAACCCUCAACCACAGGACAUUUGUUCACUGGCCAAUGGUGCAUUAUCAAAUUAAAAUAUUUGGAAACCAGAGAAAAAUAGAAUACAGAAAAUAAGAAUCAUGAAAUUAUAUAUCAUCCAUAGGUACCCAAGAGAUUUUACUUUUUAGUUACUACACAGAUAUGUGCAACAUGUAGCUGAUUAUUUUAAAGCAUAUAAUCUUUUAAAAAAUAAAUAUAAUGGAUAAGUUUACAUGGAACACAUUUCUGAAAUGUAUUUUCUCCGAUUUUUUUUUUUUUUGCCAAAUAAUACAGGUUUUAAAGAGAGAAAAAAGUGUCCAAAAGUAAACAACCUCGGCUUGUUUUUUAAAAACUCAUGACCCAUUUGUUGACCUAUUCUCAGGGAAUUUUAAGACAAUAAUAAAUACCUCUCCAGGUCCUGUAGCCAAUGGGUAAUCACUACCCUCCAUUCUGCAUGUGCACACAUCUCACUUCUACUGGCUCUGUGGAGGUUUGUGUGU